GCCGUAGCGUAGUGGUAGCGUUCUGUUGUGCCUGAGGAGAGGGCGUGGGUUCGAUCCCCCCUCGGCA
Molecule: transfer RNA, 67 nt
Filed under: Hordeum vulgare
Lineage: Eukaryota; Viridiplantae; Streptophyta; Magnoliopsida; Poales; Poaceae
Description: tRNA-Leu
Source: RNAcentral